Molecule: unclassified non-coding RNA, 269 nt
Filed under: Hevea brasiliensis (rubber tree)
Lineage: Eukaryota; Viridiplantae; Streptophyta; Magnoliopsida; Malpighiales; Euphorbiaceae
Source: RNAcentral
GCUGAUUUCUAUAGGAAUGCUGCCUUUUACGUUCCCAUUCUUGCUGUUUCUUCAUCUGAUUUAUGACUUACAAGUUUAUGUUAGCAAACCAUUUGAAACGAAUGGAUGCAUUGGGGGAUUUGAUAUAUGCUAAAGUAGGCGAUGAUAGUUACUGUUAUGAUUUUACGAUUCUCUUUUUUGUUUUUAAUAUACAAAGUUGCUGAUGUUUUUGAAUGGAGUGUUACUUAUGAAUUAUAAUAAUAAUGGAUAAGCGAGAUUAUUCAGUGAAG